RNAcentral lists this non-coding RNA (1398 nucleotides) under Plocamiocolax pulvinatus. RNAcentral describes it as "Plocamiocolax pulvinata small subunit ribosomal RNA". It matches the Rfam family "Bacterial small subunit ribosomal RNA". Lineage: Eukaryota; Rhodophyta; Florideophyceae; Plocamiales; Plocamiaceae. The record is from RNAcentral.
AUAUAUAAUAUAUAUAAAAGAGUUUGAUCCUGGCUCAGAAUAAACGUUAAUAGUUAGCUUAACACAUGCAAAUUAAAUAUUAUUGUAUUUUUGUAGAAUGAUAGUGAACGGGUGAGUAAUAUGUAAAAAUAAACCUUUAAUAAUUGUUUAAUACAUGAAAAAAUUUAAUUGAUUUUAGAAAAGUUUACAUUAAGAUUAAGUUGUUGGUGUUGUAAUAGAACACCAAACUUAUGAUCUUUAGUUGGUCUUUGAAGAUGAACAACCACAUUGGAAUUGAGAAUGGUCCAAACUUUGUUAAAAGGCAGCAGUGAGGAAUAUUGGGCAAUGGGCGAAAGCGUGACCCAGCUAAACUAUAUAUGUGAUUAAAAAAAAUAAUUUUAAAGCAUUUUAAUAAAAAAAUAAUGAUUAUUUUAUGAAAAGUCCUGGCUAAUUUCGUGCCAGCAGCCGCGGUAAAACGGGAAGGGCAAACGUUAUUCGUAUUAAUUGGGCGUAAAGCAUAUGUAGGUGGAAUAUUAAGUUUAAGUUAAAAAAUUAAAAUUAAUUUUUAAUAAGAUUUUAAAACUAAUUUUCUAGAGUUCAAUAGAAGGUUAUAGAAUUUUAAAUGUAACGGUAAAAUGUUUUGAUAUUUAAAAGAAUCUCAAUUGUGUAAACAAUAACCUAGAUUGAUACUGACAUUGAGAUAUUAAAGCAUGGGUAGCAAAAGGGAUUAGAUACCCCUGUAGUCCAUGCAGUGAACGAUGAGUGUUAGUUUUUGGAUUUAUUUUUCAGGAAUAUAAUUAACAUAUUAAACACUCCGCCAGGGAAUUACGGUCGCAAGAUUAAAACUCAAAGGAAUUGACGGGGACUUUCACAAGCAGUGGAGCAUGUGGUUUAAAUCGAAAAUACGCGCGAAACCUUACCAAUUUUUGAAUAAUUUAUAUUACAGGUGUUGCAUGGCUGUCGUCAGUCCGUGUUGUGAAACGUUUGGUUCAUUCCAAAAAACGGACAAAACUCUUAUGUAUUUUUGAAUACAAACUGUUAAAGAUAUUUUAAAGGAAGGAAAGAAUGACGUCAAGUCCUCAUGACCCUUAUAAAUUGGGCUACUUUCAUGUGCUACAAUAAUUUUUUCAAAAAGUAGCUAUAAUGUGAGUUAAAGCAAAUCUUUAAAAAAAGUUGUGUUCAGAUUGUUUUCUGAAAUUUGAAAAUAUGAAGUUGGAAUUGCUAGUAAUCGUAAAUAAGAAUGUUACGGUGAAUAUGUUCUUAGGUCUUGUACACACCGCCCGUCACGCUAUGGAAAUUUGUUUUAUUUUAAAAUUAAAUUUUUUAAUUGACAGUAAAAAAAAGACUAGAGUGAAGUCGUAACAAGGUAGCCGUAGGGGAACCUGUGGCUGGAAAAAAUAAAAGAUAUUCUACUAUCCU